AAUACUAUACUUUCAGGGAUCAUUUCUAUAGUUCGUUACUAGAGAAGUUUCUCUGAUUGUGUAGAGUACCAGAAACCAUGAGGAGGAGGCGUACCAUUCCCUUCUGAGCGUGAAGCUGGCUUUUAGUGUUGCUUUGCUGCAACUGCCUAUUGCAAUUAAUGAUUGUUCUUCUCUCCUCUUUGGGAGAGCAAGAGGAAGGGAACACAGUCUGAGUGGU
RNAcentral lists this small nucleolar RNA (217 nucleotides) under Spermophilus dauricus (Daurian ground squirrel). RNAcentral describes it as "Small nucleolar RNA U3 (ENSSDAG00000017606.1)". It matches the Rfam family "Small nucleolar RNA U3". From Rfam's summary of the family: Small nucleolar RNAs (snoRNAs) are involved in the processing and modification of rRNA in the nucleolus. Lineage: Eukaryota; Metazoa; Chordata; Mammalia; Rodentia; Sciuridae. The record is from Rfam by way of RNAcentral.